GGGUCAAAAUUUAAUAUUUAAGUCAAAAUCCAAUUUUAACGAAAAUAAAAAAUGUCGUUAAUUUUAAAUAAAAUUUUAAUUUGGGUCAAAAUUAAAUUAUGGGUCAAACCCAUUUAAUAUAUAAUUUUAAAACUAUUUUAAAGUUCAAAUUCAAAUCAUUUUUCAAUUUGCAAAUAGACCCAAAAUUGAAAUUAAAAGGUAGUCCUUCAAUUACUUUAAUUGCAUGACAG
RNAcentral lists this long non-coding RNA (230 nucleotides) under Olea europaea (common olive). RNAcentral describes it as "long non-coding RNA (OEUR_LNC003591)". Lineage: Eukaryota; Viridiplantae; Streptophyta; Magnoliopsida; Lamiales; Oleaceae. The record is from RNAcentral.